This 117-nucleotide ribosomal RNA is filed under the name Bacillota bacterium. Lineage: Bacteria; Bacillati; Bacillota. The record is from RNAcentral.
UCUGGUGACCAAAGCGGAAGGGCUACACCUGUUCCCAUCCCGAACACAGCAGUUAAGCCUUCCAGCGGCCAUGGUACUGCCGGGGUAACCCGGUGGGAGAGUAGCUCGUUGCCAGAC